GACGAACGCUGGCGGCGUGCCUAAUACAUGCAAGUAGAACGCUGAAGAGAGGAGCUUGCUCUUCUUGGAUGAGUUGCGAACGGGUGAGUAACGCGUAGGUAACCUGCCUUGUAGCGGGGGAUAACUAUUGGAAACGAUAGCUAAUACCGCAUAACAAUGGAUGACACAUGUCAUUUAUUUGAAAGGGGCAAUUGCUCCACUACAAGAUGGACCUGCGUUGUAUUAGCUAGUAGGUGAGGUAAUGGCUCACCUAGGCGACGAUACAUAGCCGACCUGAGAGGGUGAUCGGCCACACUGGGACUGAGACACGGCCCAGACUCCUACGGGAGGCAGCAGUAGGGAAUCUUCGGCAAUGGGGGCAACCCUGACCGAGCAACGCCGCGUGAGUGAAGAAGGUUUUCGGAUCGUAAAGCUCUGUUGUAAGUCAAGAACGGGUGUGAGAGUGGAAAGUUCACACUGUGACGGUAGAUUACCAGAAAGGGACGGCUAACUACGU
This 496-nucleotide ribosomal RNA is filed under the name uncultured bacterium. RNAcentral's name for it is "partial 16S ribosomal RNA". It matches the Rfam family "Bacterial small subunit ribosomal RNA", at positions 28 to 506 of the family's 1533-position model. The record is from RNAcentral.